This 464-nucleotide ribosomal RNA is filed under the name uncultured bacterium. RNAcentral's name for it is "bacterial SSU rRNA". It matches the Rfam family "Bacterial small subunit ribosomal RNA", at positions 917 to 1382 of the family's 1533-position model. The record is from RNAcentral.
GGACCCGCACAAGCAGCGGAGCAUGUGGUUUAAUUCGAAGCAACGCGAAGAACCUUACCAGGACUUGACAUCCCUCUGACGUACCCUUAACCGGGUAUUCCCUUCGGGGCAGAGGUGACAGGUGGUGCAUGGUUGUCGUCAGCUCGUGUCGUGAGAUGUUGGGUUAAGUCCCGCAACGAGCGCAACCCUUGUCAUUAGUUGCCAGCAUUUCGGAUGGGCACUCUAGUGAGACUGCCGGGGAUAACUCGGAGGAAGGUGGGGAUGACGUCAAAUCAUCAUGCCCCUUAUGUUCUGGGCUACACACGUGCUACAAUGGCUGGUACAAAGAGCAGCAAUGGAGUGAUCCGGAGCAAAUCUUUAAAGCCAGUCCCAGUUCGGAUUGUAGGCUGAAACUCGCCUACAUGAAGUCGGAGUUGCUAGUAAUCGUGAAUCAGAAUGUCACGGUGAAUGCGUUCCCGGGUCUU